GAUGAACGCUGGCGGCGUGCCUAAUACAUGCAAGUCGAGCGAACGGACGAGAAGCUUGCUUUUCUGAUGUUAGCGGCGGACGGGUGAGUAACACGUGGAUAACCUACCUAUAAGACUGGGAUAACUUCGGGAAACCGGAGCUAAUACCGGAUAAUAUUUUGAACCGCAUGGUUCAAAAGUGAAAGACGGUCUUGCUGUCACUUAUAGAUGGAUCCGCGCUGCAUUAGCUAGUUGGUAAGGUAACGGCUUACCAAGGCAACGAUGCAUAGCCGACCUGAGAGGGGGAUCGGCCACACGGGAACUGAGACACGGUCCAGACUCCUACGGGAGGCAGCAGUAGGGAAUCUUCCGCAAUGGGCGAAAGCCUGACGGAGCAACGCCGCGUGAGUGAUGAAGGUCUUCGGAUCGUAAAACUCUGUUAUUAGGGAAGAACAUAUGUGUAAGUAACUGUGCACAUCUUGACGGUACCUAAUCAGAAAGCCACGGCUAAAUACGUG
Molecule: ribosomal RNA, 497 nt
Filed under: uncultured bacterium
Lineage: Bacteria
Description: partial 16S ribosomal RNA
Rfam family: Bacterial small subunit ribosomal RNA
Source: RNAcentral